Molecule: non-coding RNA, 151 nt
Filed under: Ensifer sp.
Lineage: Bacteria; Pseudomonadati; Pseudomonadota; Alphaproteobacteria; Hyphomicrobiales; Rhizobiaceae
Description: FMN sequence
Rfam family: FMN riboswitch aptamer (RFN element)
About the family: The RFN element is a highly conserved domain that is found frequently in the 5'-untranslated regions of prokaryotic mRNAs that encode for flavin mononucleotide (FMN) biosynthesis and transport proteins. This element is a metabolite-dependent riboswitch that directly binds FMN in the absence of proteins.
Source: RNAcentral
CGGUGUUCUCAGGGCGGGGCGAAAUUCCCCACCGGCGGUAGCGAGAGAAACCUCGAAGCCCGCGAGCGCUCUGGAGCUUACGCUCCAGGGGUCAGCAGAUCCGGUCGAAUUCCGGAGCCGACGGUCACAGUCCGGAUGGAAGAGAGCAAGC